This 21-nucleotide non-coding RNA is filed under the name Arabidopsis thaliana (thale cress). The record is from RNAcentral. Lineage: Eukaryota; Viridiplantae; Streptophyta; Magnoliopsida; Brassicales; Brassicaceae.
AUCGUCGCCGAUCAAAACUCC